AAUCAACGCUGGCGGCGUGCCUAACACAUGCAAGUCGAACGCGAAAGUUCCUUCGGGAAUGAGUAGAGUGGCGUCCGGGUGAGUAACGCGUGGGUAAUCUACCCUUGGGUGGGAAGUAACCAGUCGAAGAUUGGCUAAUACCGCAUAAUGCAGCGGCUCGACAUCGAGACAGUUGUUAAAGCCUCUUCGCAAGAAGGGGCGGCCUAAGGAGGAGCCUGCGUCUGAUUA
This 228-nucleotide ribosomal RNA is filed under the name uncultured bacterium. Its description in RNAcentral is "partial 16S ribosomal RNA". It matches the Rfam family "Bacterial small subunit ribosomal RNA", at positions 32 to 243 of the family's 1533-position model. The record is from RNAcentral.